RNAcentral lists this ribosomal RNA (51 nucleotides) under Digitaria heterantha. RNAcentral's name for it is "partial 26S ribosomal RNA". The record is from RNAcentral. Lineage: Eukaryota; Viridiplantae; Streptophyta; Magnoliopsida; Poales; Poaceae.
CACGACCCCAGGUCAGGCGGGACUACCCGCUGAGUUUAAGCAUAUAAAUAA